UGAGGUUUGGUAAAUUCAAAGGUAAAAAUAGAAUUUUAAAAUUCUCAACUCACAAAAUUUCUUUGAAUUGAUUGCUGAAAAAAAUAAAAUAAAAUUCUUUGAAUUGCAGAAGACCUCGGAGCAGAACUCUAACCGAGUUGAAGACUCGGAGCAGAACUCACUCCACAUGAAGAUUCUUCACUCCGGCGAAGUCACCGUCAACUUGAACCCCCUCUCCUCCACCUGCUUCUCUAACGCAGUUUCAGGUUCCAUUUGCACUUUGAUUCAACAAUUUUUCAUUUUAGGUUUUUUGGUGUUUGAAUAUUGCGAUACUCUUGUAAUUGAUUAAUCAAAUAUAUCUAACUGCAUAAUCAUUAGGUAAUUCACAUUUCGUGAGUGCACUUUCUUUCAUCAUUUUUACACAUUUUGCAUCUUACGCUUAGCAAUAUUAUAGCUUACAUUGGAUAUGUACAAAUUACUUAAGCGCUUAUCAUAUAAAUGCUUAUUGUAUAAUCUGUUUUCAUAGUUAUUUUGGAGUGCUUAUGAAAAUAAGCUGAAAACAACUUAUGGACAUGUCAUAAAUUGUUUCCAUAAGCUCUCUCAAACUAUUUCACAAGUGCUUAUUGUCAGUAGAUAAGUUUAAAUAAGUCAAUCCAAUCAGACGCCAAGUUAUGUUGACGAGCUUUGCGAACUAAACAAUUUCACCAUGGCUUCAAAUUGUUUAACAGUAAAAUGAUUCUCAAUUUGUUUGUAAAUAUUUUCAACAAGAAUGGCUAGAGUUACACAAUUAUUAUGCGGUUGUAUGAAAGAANNNNNNNNNNNNNNNNNNNNNNNNNNNNNNNNNNNNNNNNNNNNNNNNNNNNNNNNNNNNNNNNNNNNNNNNNNNNNNNNUUUAAAUCAGUGAUACAAUAGGUAGAAACAAGUAUGUUAUCCUCAAUUAAACUGUAAGUUAUGGAAUAAUACACAUGAAUAAUAGUGAAACACUGAAACUUAUAUUUAUCACCUUUUACACUUCUAUGAUACUUACAUGUGUAUAGCUCACGCUUCACAUUUUAAAAUAAAUUCUUGGUCUGUCAUGUAAUUGAUUAAUAUAGGAACUUCAGUUGCAAAAAAGGAGAUUUUUGGAGGGAGCUAUUAAAAGCUUGGAUUUCUAACACAUCGAAGACCUAAGGUACAUUUUGUUUCCAAUAGUUUUUCUCCCCUGUUAAUAGUUAUAUAUAGUUUGCUCAUUUACUAUCUCAUAUGCAAUGAAUAAUGAUGCAUAUUGUGGGGAAUAUGGUGGUGUGCUUUGUCUUGCUGACAUGAUUGAUAGUUUUUAAAUAGAAGCAAGAACUAAUUAGAUGGUAAAAAAAAUGAAUAUAAUUCUCAUCGAUAUACUUAUUAUUCCAAACACAACAGGGUACAAUACAAAAAAUCCACAAUAAAAAGAAAAGCUAUCAUACACAAAAAUUAAUCUAUGCACAUAUAAAUCAAAGAGAUCACAAAUAAAUUAAUCUCGCUUCCACUUUUUGAUUUGUCGGUCACAUGAGUACAGUAGGAUUCGGAAGUUCAAGAUGGCCAUUGAAUAAAUAAACUCCAUCUCAUCUAGAUCACGAAUAUCGUAGCUCAAUGAUGGGAAGUUCACACUUUUUUCGAAUAAUUUGGACAAGAAGCUAGAUG
RNAcentral lists this long non-coding RNA (1638 nucleotides) under Trifolium pratense (red clover). Its description in RNAcentral is "long non-coding RNA (TPRA_LNC013537)". The record is from RNAcentral. Lineage: Eukaryota; Viridiplantae; Streptophyta; Magnoliopsida; Fabales; Fabaceae.